GGUCACCUGCUCACAUGCAGGGGGCUUUACUUUCCAGGGGAUGAUAUCGGGUAAACUCGGUGCAUCACCUGAGCUAAACGGAAGACAGAAA
Molecule: non-coding RNA, 91 nt
Submitted as: unclassified sequences
Source: Rfam